CCUACGGGAGGCAGCAGUGGGGAAUAUUGGACAAUGGGCGCAAGCCUGAUCCAGCAAUGCCGCGUGUGUGAAGAAGGCCUGCGGGUUGUAAAGCACUUUCAGUGGGGAGGAAGGCCUUAAGGUUAAUAACCUUGAGGAUUGACGUUACCCACAGAAGAAGCACCGGCUAACUCUGUGCCAGCAGCCGCGGUAAUACAGAGGGUGCAAGCGUUAAUCGGAAUCACUGGGCGUAAAGGGUGCGUAGGUGGCGUGAUAAGUCAGAUGUGAAAGCCCUGGGCUUAACCUGGGAAUUGCAUUUGAAACUGUCAUGCUAGAGUAGAGUAGAGGGAAGUGGAAUUUCCGGUGUAGCGGUGAAAUGCGUAGAUAUCGGAAGGAACACCAGUGGCGAAGGCGACUUCCUGGACUCUUACUGACACUGAGGCACGAAAGCGUGGGGAGCAAACAGGAUUAGAUACCCUGGUAGUCCACGCUGUAAACGAUGAGAACUAGAUGUUAGGUAGCUUGUCUAUCUAGUAUCGUAGCUAACGCGUUAAGUUCUCCGCCUGGGGAGUACGGCCGCAAGGUUAAAACUCAAAGGAAUUGACGG
RNAcentral lists this ribosomal RNA (586 nucleotides) under uncultured Legionellales bacterium. RNAcentral's name for it is "bacterial SSU rRNA". It matches the Rfam family "Bacterial small subunit ribosomal RNA", at positions 338 to 916 of the family's 1533-position model. The record is from RNAcentral. Lineage: Bacteria; Pseudomonadati; Pseudomonadota; Gammaproteobacteria; Legionellales.